UAGCCUGAGGAAGUUUGGGAAAACACCUAGGA
This 32-nucleotide non-coding RNA is filed under the name Rattus norvegicus (Norway rat). Lineage: Eukaryota; Metazoa; Chordata; Mammalia; Rodentia; Muridae. The record is from RNAcentral.